Molecule: long non-coding RNA, 496 nt
Organism: Mercenaria mercenaria
Lineage: Eukaryota; Metazoa; Mollusca; Bivalvia; Venerida; Veneridae
Exons: 3
Source: RefSeq, a predicted model, not a curated record
GAACAUAUACAUUGGUUUACAGGCAACAAGAUAUAAUUAUUACAGAUGUUUGGCAUCUUUAUUUAUCAAUCAUGCCUUUUUUAGAUUGACUUUCCCUUCCCAGAUAUUCAAACUGAAAAAAGUGUUUAUCUACUGCUUCAGUUGAAAUGGUUAAAAAUAUAUUACAUAUAUUCUAGCAUGUCAAUGUUGUUUACAGAUGUAUGAACGGUUAUUAUUUCUUUCAUAGGUACAGAGAGUUAACAACAGUCAAGAGAAAAAAGCUGACGAUUCCAGAAAGAAUAGCUGACUCAUCUGCAUCUGAUUCCAAUCAUGGUGAAGUAGUUAUGUCUGGUGUAGAACUGCUACCUACCACAUCUGAUUCAGAAAUAAGUUUGCAAGGGCUUUCUUAAAGAAGAGCAAAAGGACCUGUGUCCACAUCAACACCAAUUUCUGCACAUCCUCGUAUAAGUGACAGUGAGUUGUCAGCGGUAUCUUCGGUGGAAGCUGAGAGAAAAAG